AAUCACCCCAAGGUGGCCGGCCUUUGUGUAGUUCUUAGAGAGAUAUUCUUUUGCCUCUUUGUUGUUUUUAACCACACAAAAACCCUAAUGAACAAUAUCUUAUAAAGUUCCUUAUAUAGACAAAAGAAACCUAGCCAACAACUUGACUAAAUAUCUCAUCCUUUCCACACCUAAAAUGGCCGGCCCUUUAGUGUUUGGUUUGGGCUUUGGGCUUUUAUUAUUUCAAGUCAUCCAAUGCUUGAAUAAAAGCCCAAUGGGUUUAGGCCCAAUGG
Molecule: long non-coding RNA, 272 nt
Filed under: Malus domestica (apple)
Lineage: Eukaryota; Viridiplantae; Streptophyta; Magnoliopsida; Rosales; Rosaceae
Description: long non-coding RNA (MDOM_LNC012774)
Source: RNAcentral